Molecule: ribosomal RNA, 465 nt
Filed under: uncultured bacterium
Lineage: Bacteria
Description: partial 16S ribosomal RNA
Rfam family: Bacterial small subunit ribosomal RNA
Source: RNAcentral
GACGAACGCUGGCGGCGUGCUUAACACAUGCAAGUCGAACGGUAAGGCCCUGCAUGCAUGGUAACCGAGUGGCCAACGGGUGGGUAAGUCGUGGGUGAGCUGCCCGGCACUUCGGGAUAAGCCAGGUAAACUGACUAUAAUACCGACUAGGAGCAAACUUUAGAGUGAUGGUUGAAAAGUUUUAUCUGUGUAGGCUGCGCUCGCGGCUAAUCAGCUGUUGGGUGGGGUAAUGGCCUACCAAGGCGCUGACGGGUAGGCGGCCUGAGAGGGUGGACGGCAACAUUGGGACUGCGAGACGGCCCAGACGCCAACGGUAGGCAGCAGUGGAGAGUAUUACACAAUGGGGGCAAGCCUGAUGCAGCGAUGCUGCGUGGGUGAUGACGGCCUUCGGGUUGAAAACGCCUUUCGCUAGGGACGACGCUUUUUGUGACGGUACCUAGAUAAGAAGCGCCGGCUAACUACGUG